UUAUGAAGAAAAUUUAUAGAGUCUCUCCUCGGAUUGAGCAUUAUGGUUGCAUAGUGGAUCUUUAUAGCCGUGCAGGGAGAUUGGAGGAUGCAUUAAAUGUCGUAGAAAAUAUGCCGAUGAAGCCAAAUGAAGUUGUGUUGGGUUCAUUGCUGGCAGCAUGUAGGACUAAGGGUGAUAUCAUCUUAGCAGAAAGAUUAAUGAAGUAUCUAGUAGACUUGGAUCCUGGCGUUGAUUCCAAUUAUGUGCUUCUUGCGAAUAUGUAUGCGGCUGUUGGAAAAUGGGAUGGUGCGGGUAAGAUUAGGAGAACAAUGAAGGGUCGUGGUAUACAGAAGAAGCCAGGACUUAGUUCAAUUGAGAUUGGGAGUGGCAUUCAUGAAUUUAUGGCUGGCGAUAGGUCGCAUAUAGAGUCAGAGCACAUCUAUUCAAUGUUAGAGCUUCUUUCUUUUGAUUUGAAAUUAUGUGGUUAUGUUCCAGAAACAGUUGCCGGAGAAUUAUAUGAAAAUGAUUGAGUUUUGGUUGUCAAGUAUAAAAAACUGAGUUUCAAGUAUAGUAAUAGAAUCUGAUUUUCUUAAGAUGUUUAUUCUUGCAAUUAGGAUAUGGAAAAUAGGGUGACUGAUUCUUUACCAUAAAAACCCUUGCAUUUACUUUAAAACCUUUUGGUAGGUGAGUUUUUAACUAAUCAAUUGUCGGGGAUCGUUUCAUUAGUAAUUUAAGAUCCAUGGAUUCCUAAAUGUUAUGUAUCUUGGAUUUCAAGGGAAACUUCAUCCCUUGUGAUGCAACUUACUCUAUGCCACAACAUAAGAGUCACUAUAAAUUUCUAUUUUAACAAAGCUCAAGUGAAAUGCUCCAAGUUGCAGAGUUGAUAAGUACUUUUAACUCAAGGGAGCCUCUAUGUUACAAUUAAUGUAACAUACACACUCAACAACAACCACACAAAUGAUGGGCCCACACAAUUUGUGUGGUUGUUGUUGAGUGUGUAUGUUACAUUAAUUGUAACAUAGCAUUUGCCUUAACUCAAUCUGCUAGUGUCAGCUGACAUGGCGUGACAGCUUGGUCCUCCUUAUUCCAGCUGAGCAGCAGCGUUAGCAUUUGUCUGUUCUUGAUAAUUGAUAUAUAUAUAAAAAAAAAAAAAAAUCUAGGGAUUAUCCCACGCUUUUGAAUUCAUGAAGGUGAAUAAUUUAUAGGCUAGAAUAGAAAAGUAACCUAUUUAUGAUAAAAACCACAAUUCGAACAAUUAAGGUAAGUGUGAAAUUGAACAAGAAGUCGACUGAUAAUAGAGAGGUGUAUAUAAAUAUGUACUCAAUUACAUUACCAAGUUUAAAAGUUUUAAUUGAAUGAUUUAAAUUACAAGCUGAAUUUGACAGCCCUUUAAUUUGAAAUAUUGAAUCUGAUUUUCCAAAGAAUUUAGUUUUUAAGUUCAAUUAUUUUAAAUAUUUGCGCAAAUUUAGAAUAUAACUAAAAGAAAAUUUUAUAUCAAGUUCAGAAAUAAAAUAAAUCUAUAAAAUUCCAUACGACGGCUGAGGAGUAUUUAUUAACUUAGAAUAGAAAAUAACCAUUUUUCACAUUUAACAAUUACAAUUGGAACAAAGUAGAUUAUUAGAAAUUUAACACAAAAAUUUAUAAUUUCAUAUUCAAUUUUGUAAUAAAGCCUUGCUCUGGUGCAAUUUAAUUAAUUACAACAAACGGCUACGCUUAGACAUGACUUGUUCGUGAAUAAAAACUUUCCUGAUGUUUCUGGUGUGAUCCAGUUCACGAAAUUAAUGUUUAUGUGUAUUUUUAAAACUUCGCGAUCAUUUAUUAUGGUAUAAAAAAAUAAGGAGAGGUUGCUAUAAAUUUGAGUGGUAGAUAUUAUUUCAAAUCUUUUUAAGUUUCAUGGGAUAUUGGAGUUUACUAAAAUAUAUUAAAAAUUAAUGGAAUAUUGGCGGUUAUUUCAAAAUAUUGAAGGAAGAUAUACUCUAAACUCUGAAUGUGAUAUAGAGGCGUUUUGUUUCGUUUCACCUUGGCAAUUUUGUAUUUUUUCUUGGACUGAUUUGUCGUUGGUCAUAAGAAAUAGCCUUUGAUUAGCAAACGUUAUAUGGUUAAAUUAGCAAAUAUUAUGGCUGUAUAUUUUAUCAUUAUUCUGUCUAAAAUAAUGUAUCUAACAGCGAUUGUUGACUGUUCAAUAAUUUAACUUUUUAGAAACUUAUAUUUGUUAAGGUGAGAAUUGUUUAAGAGUUAUUGAUUCAAAAUUAAAAAAUCUCUAUAGUCCAUAUCUGUAAAAUAAUUAUGAGAAAUUAUUCUUGCUAAAAUAUUGUUUAGCUUUGUGUCCUGUUAUAUUUUCCUUAAUAGAUUUACCGAACUAGCUCAAAGGACAUAUUUAAAUGCGAUAUGUUGUUUUAUUUUAUCUUUUCUGUUUAUAAUAUAUUUGUUCAAACUUUGAUCACAUCCCGUGAGAUAGACAGCAAGUGGAAAAAACCUGAGAGGCUUGAUACCCGUUUAAACGGAGGAUUUGGAGGCCCAACAUUCAGCUUUUUUUUUGUUUUUUUUUUUUUUAAUUUUGUUGAAUUUUUAAAUAUAAUAUAAUGUAGAGUGUAAAACGAACAAUAAUGAUAUCAAAUAAUUUAUAAAAAAAAAAUCUAUAGAUUAUUCCACACUUUUGAAUACAUGAAGAAAUAAUAUUUUAUAAGCUAGAAUAGAAAAUUAACCCAUUUAUGAUAAAAACGACAACUGGAACAAUUAAAAUAACUAAGAAACUGAAAAAGAAGUCUUCUUUUACAACUAAGAAACUGAAUAUUAGUGAAUAAAAUAAGUGAGGUUAUUAUUGAAAUGGAUAAUAUCAAUUAAAAAUAGUUGCUGGACAGAUGUAAUAAAUAUAACUAUAGUUGGUUGACACCGGUAUUGGUUGACACCACCUAUUAGAUUCACUAUAAAAGGCUAAGGAUGAAGGGACACGAAAGCGGGGUAAGAAAAGGAAAAAGGCAAAAGGGGAAUAUGGAAGCUGAGCAAGAAAGAAGAAAGCAGAGCAAGUGGGAGGUCAAGCAAGAAGCCAUAAAGAAGUCAAAAAGCCAAGAAGCCGAAAAAGAAGUCCAGUAUCCAAGAGACAUUAAGAAACCGAAGAUCAUAAGCUGAAACAGAGAGUAUUAGCAGCAGCAAACACAAAGAACAGCAGCUUAUUUGUUUGUAACAACACUGAACAAGAAGUCUAACUGAUAAAAGAUGAGUACUAAAUCUGUACUCAAAUCAUAUUAGCCAGUUUUUUCUUCUUUUUUUUUGAAUAAUGGAGAAAAUAUAUUAAACCGAACCAGAGAUUGUUACAACAAGUAUACAAUUUCAUCGGGGGAUCUCCCAACUAAACUUGGUAAUCAGAAUAUGAAAAAUGUAAUUUUUCCAUAGCAUGGGUUACCGUGUAACAGUUUCUUGGAAAAAGUACUCAGCUGUGAGUUCCCUAAUAUCCAAGAAACAAGAAUCCAGAAUCUUUGGCCAACUUGAUCCCCGCUAGAACAGCUUCUAGGGGAGUCCAUUGAGUCAUUGCGACUCAUUACUUGGCUGAAUUCCCUUGGAAACUUGAAUAAAGGAGUCCUGAGCACUAUGUAGAUUUCAGCAGUUGCUUCUGCUCGAACUAAAGUGCUGAAAUGGUUUUCCGGCACGUGACUACGAAUAAAAAGAUUACUCUCUCUCCAGAUGAACUAUGCAAUAGUGCAAAUAAUUCUAGCUUCUCUGUUGUCAUAAUAUGGUCAAUAUCCAGAACAAAGCAAGCAAAAUUCACACGAGUGUUGGUUUUGAUGGCCAUUACAAGUUCAAAGGAAGAGUAGUAGCCUAACAUGAAGAUAAAGAGCCUUGUUUGAUAGCGAAGAAUGAUAUGCCUUGCUUCUAAAGAAGGUCUCAAGUUUAGCUUACAUUUAGUCAGAAGAAUCCUUUUGAAGGUUACAAGGCAAGUCAUCUUUGGCUAGUUGACAUUACAGGGUCUUAUUUAUUAUUCAUGCUACGCUUUCUCUUCUUCCACAACCACUUCAAAUUAUAGCUCUGGCUGUUUGCAUGAUUGGCAUUAUGUACCAUUUGAGCAUGCAUGCUAGCUUACGUACUGACGAUUUGUGAGAUAUGAUAUACGUACAUAUUUUGAUAAUAGAUUAAUUAGGCAAUGGUAUUUUCUGUUUAACAUUAGCUUGGAUGCAUUAAUUUUUCCUUUUUUUUUUUUAAUUUGUAGGACUGAGGCAUCAAUGCUUGCUUCAUUUAUUUAUUACUAUGAAGCUUUACAGCAUAAAUUAAAUGACUAGAGCACAAAGUGAUGAAUUGAAGAUGAGCCAUGAAGUUUUAAUUUAAUGGUGUCAAGACAAGUGAAGAAUCCAGCAUAAUUUGAUGAAGUGAAUAUGUACUAAUUUUGGGAUAAGAAGUCAAGAUUUUAAAGUUAUAAGGCCGAAUCACAACCAAAAAAAAAAAUUGUACGUUAAAAAAAAUAAAUUAUUUUCUUGAGUUUACUUGUCAGAUUGUGUCUAUGUCAGGCAUGAUGCAUAUAUAGCAAGAAUGAGUCAUUAUGAUUGUCACGAAGGUAUUUUGUAAAAUGAAUUAAGUGUUUGGCGAAUUGUCUCAACGAGCACUCCUCCAUCUGUCACCACAUCAAGUUACAUGAACCGAUAAAAGGCAAGUGAUGUGCAAGCAAAGGACAGUUGAGAACUCAGGUGACUUAGUACUUGAUCAAGAAUGCUAUAGAGCAUGAAAUUGAUGAUAGGCUCAGGUUGGAAUGAAGACAAAUGGAGCUGUACUUAAUAGAAGGACAAUCACAGCAACUAGUAGAUCAAAGUCACAAUGUCCCUAUAUAGGAUCAAUUUGCAACUGUGUAUAGUACAAUACUAUUACACAUCUUGGUCGGGAAAAUCAGUUUGUAUAGACAUAUAUCUUCAAGAAGAAAUUAAAAUAUAGCGUGUUGUGUAAUUUUUUUGUUCAUUUACUUUGCCACUUUUAAAAUUUCUGUUUGAUUCUUAAAAUAAGAUGAAUUUGGAUCUGAUUCUAAUUUAAGCUGUGAUGAUCUUUUACAGAUUAUGUACCACGUGUUAUAACAAUGAACAGUGAAGAUCUAAUUAGCCAAGAUAGAUACUGCCUUUGAAUUACCCAGAAACUUGUAAACUCUUCCUUGUAGCUAUAGUUGCAAGGCAAGUCAUUCUUGGCCACCAAACAAGGGUUUUCAUCUUGGUGUUAGGCUACUCAUCUUCUCUGAGCUUCAUGCUUUAGUUGGAUGCCAAUAUUGUGUUUUGACGUCUCUGUUUCUAGUGGACGAAAGACUACAGGUCAGAUGUAGAUGAGUAGACCACCGUCCACAAAUUAUUUCAAUGUUUCCUAAACACUUUUCCUAUGCUUGUUAAGCUUAGCAAUUUGGAAUAUAUUCUUGGACAAUGAUGUAUCAUAUUUGGCGGUGACAGUCAUGAUUCACUCUGCACAAAAUUUAGCUGUAACUAAUAUUGGACUGCAAAUUUGGCAAACCAAAUUAUCUACAGCACAUUGCUUUAACAGGGGAUAUUUAUGAAGAACUAAUAUUGACAAUUACUAGAAGCUGGCAAACUCUCCUAGAUGACUUUCAAGUUUUAAGAAAAUGGUAUCAUUAACAAGUAAUCAUAAACAUUAGAAACCGACAUUUUGUUCAACCACAAUUUGUCACUAUCAAGCUAAACAAUUUGCACACGCUUGUUCAAAUUGAUGCUAAAACUUUUUGUCCAUCUUGUCCCUUUCCCUUUGAGUUGACUAUAUAUAUCCAUAUAGGCCUUCUGACUUAGCUAGAUAUUGGCCCCUACUCCGAUUUGGGAAUGAAGCACAUAAUUUAGCAAAGGAAUUUGGAAUCACUAAAGUUCUUGGGCAUCAUAUAAAGUCAAUGCCUUUGCCAUCUAAAACAAUUUGGUUUUAUAGUGUUCUCGGAUUUCAUCUGUUGUCCUUUUUCCUUCUUGGAAGUUUUUAGCCAUUGUUAUCUAAUAUUUUCCUCAAACAUAAAUGGCAAAUAAGGAAAUUUGGGAAAUUAGUGUUUCUUCUCUCGCAGAUCCUUUAUCAUUGGUAUCUAGCUUUGGUGAUAAAAUGCUAUCAACCAUAUUACUAGUUCUUAAUAUAAAGGCAAGAAAGCAACAAUUAAUAGUUGUGAAUUAAAUGCUGUGGCAUAGUUAAAGCAAUGUAAGCUGCAUUGGAAUCAAAAGGUUAUCCUCAAUGAAGCAGGCAAAAUCAGAGUAGUUUACCCGGUGUACAUGUCAAAUAAAUUAUAGGAGCAGAGGAUACUUGGUUGUCACAUACAUCCAACCAUGUAUAUAACACAUCCUUAAUUUGGAGAAGCUGGAGGUCUGAUUAUAUGCAUGUCUUAUCUGAAAAUUUCCUGGCGAACUAAUAAGAAGAUUGGCCUCUGCUGAAUUGAGGACUUCAUGGAUUUUUCAAAAAUCCUGACUAGCACUUUUGGGUUUUGGCAGUAAGAAGUACAUGAUCAUCAAGCAAUAAUGCAUUUCAUAUUUGGGUCCAUCUCAAUUUUAAAGAUUAUAUUCAUUAUGGUAAGCUUAAUGAUACUGAGUGCAAGAACGUAUAAGGGAAAAGAGUCAUUUUAUGCAAUUUGAUGGCAACCUAUUGAAUUUCUGAUCUGCAUCCGAUUUGUAUUGUUCUUUUCACCAGCUAUACAUAGAGGCUUCAGAACACAGUAUUGGCAUCCAAUUAUAUCGAAGUAUAGAAGUUCAUGUUGGGAAAAUAUGCUCUUUAAAAGCAUAUGUGUUUAUUUAAUUGUAAUAUAUAAUUUUUUUUAUUAAUAAAAUAAAGUAGGCAUUUUAUUCAAAUAUCUUAAUUGCAUUAAUAUUUGUAUUAAAAUCCAUUUAAUCAUAUUAUAUGUAUUUAUGUGAUCACCAUGUGGAUUCACAGAAGACAUAAAUACAAGUUAUCUUAUGAUUAAAUAAAUUUAGUUCGCAGUUGAUAAAUAAAGUUGGGCACUUUAUUUAGGUAUAGACUGUAAUAAAUUCAUUGAAUGAUUUGUCUUAAUCAUGUAUGAAUUUAUUGAUGUAGUACGACUACAUUGAACAUGAUCACAUAUGAGAUUUAAUUAACUUUGUAAUAACUGUCAGACUUAUUAAAUCUCAUAGGCAUUGAUUUUACUGUAAUCUUAAUCUUGAGUUAAUUAUGAUUUCAUGAUUGUAAUUGUUAUUCCAUUUGAGUUACCAAUGGGCACGACACAUCCUUGUGGUCAAGAUUACCCGGUAUUUUGGUGGGAGCAAUUAUGAGUAUUGGAGUUAUGGAUUAACAAUAUAGAAUUUGUACAACACAUCUCUUGAUAGGUUUUCGGCACUUGAUCAUAGAAUUCUCUGGCCGGAGUGUGUCAACAUAUUUAGUAUGUUGAAAAUGAUCAUUAGAGAAAACCAGUAAGGAUCAAGGAAUAAAAUGUUAUUAAAUUGAUUGGACAGUUGAGAUAUCAAUUUAAUUAACGAUGUGGUACAAAGGAUUGUGCAGUAAAGAAAUCAAUGUGGCUUGGGACGAAUUAUUAUUCGAGCAUACAAUUAUGGAAGUCAGUUCCAAUCUUCUAGUGGAGUAGAUUUGGAAUUAAAUAAUUAGGCUAGUUUAAUUACAUGCCUAAUUGUUAUAGCCACUAUUGUAUGUUCCCAAAUGAUCCCCGAGUUAGCUCAUUUAAUUGACUGCACCACUACUGGACUAAUAAGUAAGAUAACUAGCUAUUUGUUAGUGGGAGGCUCCAUUUAAUUAGCUUGUGUAUAAGGGACCUUAUGUUAUUUUACAAGGUGGGUCUCCUAUAGAAAAAGCAAGUAACGUAAGUUUUGUUUUUUUGAUUUUUGGAGCCUAGGGUUUUCACUAAAGGGAGAUAUAAAAGGCUUAUUUUUUCUAAAGAAAAAGAUAGUAGCCACUUUAUACAGAUCAGAGAAAAAGAUUUUUCUAUCUAUUGUUGAGAGAAAAAAUUUCUCGUGCUAGUUGCUUUGGUAGUGAUAAAGGCGCCAACACGUCAAGUGCAGAUCGAACCUGAGUCAUAACCUGGAAGAUCAUUUGUGACAGUUUGUGAUCUAACAAGCGAGGUGGUGACGGAUCGUGAUAUAACAGGAGUGGUAGUGGCGGAUCGUGAUCUAGGAGCCUAAAUCACUUCAGCGGAAAAAGCCAACUCGGAUUUUCAAGGUACGAUUUAUAGAAUACAAAUUAUUAUAUAUUAUAUGAGAGCGAUCUUCAAAAGAUUUUAUAAAAAAAUUAAAAACUUAAUUUUUCCCCAACAAUUGGUAUCAGAGCCUCCUUAUAUUAAUAUAUAAGAAUUUCGUAUGAAAUCAUUCUUGAAAUUUAUGUAUUAGAGUGGCACAAUUUAUUCAUAUAUAUAUUAAUUGUUUAAUAUAUGAAUAAAGCAUGUUUGAUUUGUCUUAAUUCAUGGUUAGAUUUUUCGGUGUAUUUUUUCUUUGGAUUUGUAACAAGAGGGGUUGUUUUUUAUCAUCAUGUUUCUCUCUUGAUUUAUUUUACUGUUAUAGAAUUUUUGUAAGCCAAAAAUUGGCCUAGGAAAUUUAUAAAUUAAUCUCGGAUUUUCAAGAUCAAAGCGACGAAGGCUGGAAAUUUUGACAGCGGCAACCAGCAGUAAGCAGCGUGCGGCCAGCAGCACAUGCUGCCAGUAAGCACGCGCAGCGGCAAGCAGGGCGCAGCUCGCAGCAAUAGCGCGCGACCAGCAGCGCCACCAGCAAGCGCGCGGGGGCUGGAAGCUUGCGGACGUCUGCGGCUGGCGAAGGGCGUCGUUUGGUGGCUUCCCGGCGUGGUGGUGAUGGUCAAAUCGGCGUCGGACUUGGAUGAACAGUGGCUGCCCUUUGUGGUGAUGGCAGCUGGGGAGAGAAAAAGAUGGAUUUAGGGUUUUAAUGGUUUUUAUCAUUACGAUCCCUAUAGUUCCAUAUAUUUUCUCUUUGGGCUGAUAAGUUUUAAGUUUUAGUAUUUAAGUCCAAAAACAGUUUUGGGUUUAAAGAAUCCUAGUUUUAGGCCCAAUUGAAAUUUGGGCUUAAUGAAUUAAAAUGCAUAGAUAAAAUUGAACACAUUAAAUUUAUUUUUUGUCCAAAAAUUUUAUGUUAAUAAAAAAAAUUAAUUGUUUAUUUAUUUCCUUUCAAAAUUAAAAUUGGACCAAUUAAAAAAUUUAAAAGCCCAAUUUCUCAUAGUCCAUUAACAAAGACAAGCUUAUGGAAGAUGGACAUUGACAAGAAGCCCAAUGAAGAUUAGGCUUAGGGUUAAUGAAUUUUUCAUUAUUAGGAAAGCCAUGAAUUAAGAUUAUUUAAUUGUUUUUCUAUAUGUUGUGUUUUGGAUGAUAACAUGCCAUGAUAACAUGUCAUAUAGAAUAGGUAGUGCCACUCUAUGCAUAAUAAUACAUGUCAUUCAUUAAUAAUGAAUCUUAUUAUAUUGUUUGAAAUUUGCCUAUGCUUAAUAAUAUUGGAUAUCAUCUAGAUAAUAUUAUAGGAAGCAUGCAAUUAACAAUAUGUAUGUUUUAAAAAAAGAAAAAUCAAUUUUAAAAUAUUGAGUGGGAGAGGGAAAAUUUAAGAUAAUUUUUCCCACGGGCUCCAUUGUUAGUUCAAUAAUAAAAUUAUAUAUAUACAUCGACUUCAUGAUACGGUGAUGCUCCCUACGGAGGGUAUAUAUAUUAGAUAUUUUAUUUGAUGAACUUCUUCAAAGAUAAAAUUGAAAUAUUUUUCAAUCAAUUGUUCACCCCAACGGCGACUAUUGAUAUGAAAAAUACGUAGAUUGAAACAAUGGUUAUACACUCAACUAAAAUUUGUUAUUAACCUUCCCAACGAAGCUCUGUUAACAAAUUUAGGCCCAAAGGGAUAACGAUAAUUAUUUAUCAUGUCUCUACAUGAAAGUAAAUAAUCCAAUGGAUAAUUGGGUCUAGUAAGUGUAGACAUGACUUCCCCACGGAUAGCUUGUCAAAGUGGUACUAGAUUAUCGUUACAAUAAAUAAAAAUGCAUUUAUGAUUUUUUGUAUUUUUGUCAUUUAUUGUGAAUUUUGUUUCAGAGUAUUUAUGCAUGUGUAUUUUGUUUUUUCAGAAAAUGUCUUCCAUCAACCCAUUAUUAAUUAUCCUUGUUAAAAAUGAACUCACUGGCAAAAAUUAUUUAGAUUGGAAACGCAAUCUAUUUAAUAUUCUCACUGCUAAAGGCUGCAAAUAUGUGUUGACCCAGCAAUGCCCUCUAGAACCAACGUUAUACGAUUAUAGAAAUCAGAGGGAGCCUUAUGAGAAAUGGUGCGAAGCUAACAAAAUGGCUAAGCACUAUAUAUUUGCUUCGAUUUCUGUGGAACUGCAUAAGAAACAUCGGAGCAUGGAAACAGCCACUGAAAUUAUGGCUAGUCUUUAUCAGAUAUUUGGGCAAAAUAUCCAUUUUGCCAGAGAAGCAGCUUUAAAACGUAUUACGGAUACUAAGAUGGAAGAGGGCACAAAAGUUCGUGAUCAUGUCCUCAAAAUGAUGGACUAUUUGAAUGAGGUAGAGAUUCAUGGUGUUCAAAUCAAUGAUAAAUCAAAGAUUAACAUGGUGAUUGAAUCUUUACCUGAUACAUUCAAAGAGUUUAAGGUCAGCUAUAUCUUAAACAAUAAAGAUAUGACUUUAAUUGAAUUAAUGCACGAACUACAUGCUAUAGAAGAAUUUUAUCAUAGCAGAAAACUUCCUGAAAAAAGAUUCUCUUCAAGGCUUAAGUCGAAAGACAAGAAUGAGCAAACAAGAGUUGGGAUCGGCAAACUGUCCACUAAAACAAGUGGCAAGCCAAAAGGCAAGUGUUACAAAUGUGGACAGAAGGGUCACUGGAAGAAAGAUUGUCCUAAGAUUAUUAAAAUCAGGUAUAGGAAAUCUUUAAGCUCCCUAAUUAGUUCAGAUUUCUAUUGAUUCAUACAAUAAUGAAUUCUGAGAUAACUAAUAUUAUUUGUAAUUCAUUUAUUUGGUUUUCAGGAAACCAAGAGAUUAAGUGAAGAAACCUUCAAAUAGCAGUUGAGGACAUGCUAGUUUAUAUCAAUUGAAAUGCUAGAUCAAUUUUACAAGACUUUAGUUUUGAUAUUUGUCUUUAUUUUUCCAAAUAUUAGAGGAAUUUAAUUUCGGUGGCUUGUUUUAAUAAACAGGAGUACACUGUUAUUUUUGGAUCCUCUGUUUAUUACUUAUUUUGAUUAUUUAUAAAGACAAUUUAUAUCAUAUAAGUCUAUUGAUCUAUUCAAAGCAAGAUAUAAUGAUAAAAAGUAUAUGCAUUUAUCUAAGAAAAGAAAUGUUUCUUCAAACCAAAAUCACCUCUGAUAUUUAUGCUUAAGUCAUAUAAACUAUAAUAAGAUUUUAAGAAAAUGAUUAAUGAUAGACUUGUUGGCCUAUUAAGAUUGAUCAUUGUAACUCUAUAAAUCUUAUUUAGAAAAGUAAUAUGACCAGGAUGCUCAUUUUGAGCUAAAAGCAUAACAUUGUAUUUGAUGAUUUAGCGCAUACAAAUGUAUACAGACUAAUCAGUUUACAUGUUAUAAGAGAUUAUGAGUAUUCUAUCAAUCUUGUUGAUGAAUAUUCAUUUUAUUUAUGUUUGUCUAAAUGCGUCAUGAUUCCAAUGCUUUUGAAAUUCAAAAGAGUACGUGGAUAAGACAAAAGUAAUUAGAUAGGAACAUAAAAUAACUUCGAUAUGAUCGAAACAAAGAAUAUCUCUAUAGAGAAUUGAAGCACUAUUUGGUUGUCAAUGAACACUAUGAUACAAUAGUGUAAUUAAAUGGAGAAACAAGAUUCUUUUGGAUAAGACAAGAUAUAUACUAAGUGGUUUAUCAUUUACAUUUUUUAUUCCAAAUACUAGUAUUUAAAACUACAAAGUUUAUUGAACUUAGUUUCAUCUAUUUCGGUGUCUACUACUCCAAGAAAUUUUGAAAAAGUCACAAACAUGGUUUGAGACACAUUCGUAUUUGGAGUUUACUAGUAUUUCUACUAGAAUCAGAGAUAAAGAAGAUGGAUUCGUCUUCAGAAGCUUGCAUGUUUUAGGUAUCUUAAAGGAAUAAGGGAAAGUCUGAAUUAUAGUCCUCAAGAUAGGUAUAUAUUUAUAGAAAUAUUCUUUACUUUCUUUGAGGAAGACUAUAUAAUGACUUAUAACUUAAGAGUAAGGUAAAACUAGAGAAAUAAAAGAGAUCAGGUUGAUGCUCAGCUUUCAACACCUGUUAUAGAACAGGAAGAACAGCAACAACCAGCUGAUCAGCACAGGAUUAUCCUUGAACAACCAUCACUUUUAGAACCUCGUCGUAGUGGGAGGGUAACUAGGUUACCUGCGAGAUACAUGUUUUUGGGAGAAACCUAUACGGCUAUCUCAGAUGAACAUGUACAAGAUCCCACUAGUUACAACGAAGCUCUAAUAGAUAGAGAUGUUGAAUUUUGGAAAAAGGCUAUGAAUAAAGAAAUGGAAUCUAUGUAUUCCAAUAAAGUCUGGGAACUUGUAGAGGCACAAAAUGGGGUAAAACCUAUGGGGUGCAAGUGGAUCUACAAGAGAAAAAGAGGAGUAGACGGAAGGGUGGAAACAUUUAAAGUAAGAUUAGUAGCCGAAGGGUUUACUCAGAAAGAAGGAAUCGAUUAUGAGGAAACCUUUUCUCCGGUUGCUAUGCUUAAAUCCAUCAGGAUUCUGCUCUCCAUUGUUGUAGUGCUAGAUUAUGAAAUUUGGCAAAUGGAUGUCAAGACUGCCUUUCUUAACGGGCAUCUUAAAGAAAACAUCUACAUGCAGCAACCAGAUGGAUUUAUACAAAAAAGGCCAAGAACACAUGGUAUGUAAGUUGCAGAGAUCCAUUUAUGGAUUGAAGCAAGCAUCCCGAUCAUGGAAUAUCAGAUUUGAUCAAGCGAUUAAAUCGCUUGGAUUCAUUCAGAACAUUGAUGAAUCAUGUGUGUACAAGAAAAUUCAGGGAAAAUUUGUAGCCUUCCUAGUUCUGUGUAGACAAUAUUCUCCUGAUUGGAAACGAUAUAGGAGUAUCGACUACAAUAAAGAUUUGGUUAGCAAAAUAAUUUGAUAUGAAAGACUUGGGAGAGACAAGUUAUAUUCUUGGUAUCAAGUUACUAUGAGACCGGAAGAAUAAAACUUUAGCCUUGUCUCAAGCGGUCUAUAUCGAUAAGAUAUUGGCUAGAUUUAGCAUGGAAAAUUCCAAGACUGGUUUAUUACCAUUCAGACAUGGAAUUACAUUUUCUAAGGAUCAAUCACCUAAAACAUCUGAAGAGAUAGAGAUAAUAAGACGAGUUCCCUAUGCAGAAGUUGUGGGAAGUCUCAUGUAUGCCAUGCUUUGCACUAGCCUAGACAUCUGUUUUGCGGUAGGGAUGGUUAGCAGAUAUCAAUUUAAUCAUGGACCUCAAUACUGGACUGCAGUCAAGCAUAUUAUAAAGUAUCUGAAAAGAACUAAAAAUUAUAUGCUUGUGUAUUCUGGUGAUGAAUUUAUUCUAGUGGGUUAUACUAAAUUCUGAUUUUUUGUCAGAUAAGGAUUUUAGAAAAUCAACUUCCGGCUAUGUGUUUACAUUAAGAAGUGGAGCUAUUAGUUGGAUGAGUGUGAAACAAUCUUGUAUCACACACUCCACAACUGAAGCUGAAUAUGAGGCUACAUUUGAAGCUGCAAAAGAAGCUAUAAAGGCUCUGUAAGUUCCUACAAAAUCUUGAGGUGGUACCUGUUGUAACUACACCCCUUAAACUAUUUUGUGAUAAUGGUGGUGCAGUAGCUCAAUCUAAGGAACCACAAGAAACAAAACAUAUUGAGAGGAAGUAUCAUCUCAUAAGGGAAUAGUGUAGAAAUGUUAUAUGACAGUACCCCAAAUGGCAUUAGAUGCUAAAUGACAGAUCUUAUCAAAAUUACCAUUAGUGGGAAACCUUUAUAACCUGCACUUAGAGCCCUAGAGCAUGUGCAAUAUGCCAGAUAUGUUUUGAGAGCUAGUGGGAGAUUGUUGGGAAAAUAUGCUCUUUAAAAGCAUAUGUGUUUAUUUAAUUGUAAUAAACAAUUUUUCUAAUUAAUAAAAUAAAGUAGGUAUUUUAUUCAAAUAUCUUAAUUGCAUUAAUAUUUGUAUUAAAGUCCAUUUAAUCAUAUUAUAUGUAUUUAUGUGAUCACCAUGUGGAUUCACAAAAGACAUAAAUACAAGUUAUCUUAUGAUUAAAUAAAUUUAGUUCGCAGUUAAUAAAUAAAGUUAGGCACUUUAUUUAAGUAUAGACUGUAAUAAAUUCAUUGAAUGAUUUGUCUUAAUCAUGUAUGAAUUUAUUGAUGUAGUACGACUACAUUGAACAUGAUCACAUAUGAGAUUUAAUUAACUUUGUAAUAACUGUCAGACUUAUUAAAUCUCAUAGGCAUUGAUUUUACUGUAAUCUUAAUCUUGAGUUAAUUAUGAUUUCAUGAUUGUAAUUGUUAUUCCAUUUGAGUUACCAAUGGGCACGACACAUCCUUGUGGUCAAGAUUAUCCGGUAUCUUGGUGGGAGCAAUUAUGAGUAUUGGAGUUAUGGAUUAACAAUAUAGAAUUUGUACAACACAUCUCUUGAUGGGUUUUCGGCACUUGAUCAUAGAAUUAGUGUGUCAACAUAUUUAGUAUGUUGAAAAUGAUCAUUAGAGAAAACCAGUAAGGAUCAAUGAAUAAAAUGUUAUUAAAUUGAUUGGACAGUUGAGAUAUCAAUUUAAUUAACGAUGUGGUACAAAGGAUUGUGCAGUAAAGAAAUCAAUGUGGCUUGGGACGAAUUAUUAUUCGAGCAUACAAUUAUGGAAGUCAGUUCCAAUCUUUUAGUGGAGUAGAUUUGGAAUUAAAUAAUUAGGCUAGUUUAAUUACAGGCCUAAUUGUUAUAGCCACUAUUGUAUAUUCUCAAAUGAUCUCCGGGUUAGCUCAUUUAAUUGACUGCACCACUACUGGACUAAUAAGUAAGAUAACUAGCUAUUUGUUAGUGGGAGGCUCCAUUUAAUUAGCUUGUGUGUAAAGGGCCUUAUGUUAUUUUACAAGGUGGGUCCCCUAUAGAAAAAGCAAGUAACGUAAGUUUUAUUUUUUUGAUUUUUGGAGCCUAGGGUUUUCACUAAAGGGAGAUAUAAAAGACUUAUUUUCUCUAAAGAAAAGAUAGUAGCCACUUUAUAUAGAUCAGAGAAAAAGAUUUUUCUCUCUAUUGUUGAGAGAAAAAUUUUCUCGUGCUAGUUGCUUUGGUAGUGAUAAAGGCGCCCACACGUCAAGUGUAGAUCGAACCUGAGUCAUAACCUAGAAGAUCAUUGGUGACAGUUCGUGAUCUAACAAGCGUGGUGGUGACGGAUCGUGAUCUAACAGGAGUGGUAGUGGCGGAUCGUGAUCUAGGAGCCUAAGUCACUUCAGCAGAAAAAGCCAACUCGGAUUUUCAAGGUACGAUUUCUAGAAUACAAAUUCUUAUAUAUUAUAUGAGAGCGAUCUUCAAAAGGUUUUAUAAAAAAAUUAAAAACAUGAUUUUUCCCCAACAGUUCAAAGGAAGACUUGGAGAGCUGUAAGUGUAAAUUGAAGCAGUCUAAAGAAUAUCCUUCUAUCUGUGAGUGCAAAGAGAGCAUGUGAUGAAGAACAUACAUAUGUGUGUGUGUGUAAAUCAAGGCUUUUUAAUGCAAAUGGGUUGAAAGAAUCUCCAAAAUAUUGUAUCCGAUCAUUUUCAUUUACUAUCUUUUGUUCUCUUACAUAAUUCAGCUUUAUCACUUGAAAAAAAAAAAAAAAACAAGAAUAAGCAAGAGUGAAAGCAUUAUUUUUCUUAUCUUCACCGUAAGACUCUUAUCUCUACUAAUCUACAGUCGCGUACUGAGAAGUUAAUGUUGUGGAAGAAGAGCAAGCCUAGCGUGACUUAUAAGAGCCUGUCAAGUUAGCCAAGAUAUGAUAUGCCUUUGAAUUGCGUAGCUAAGCUACAUGUGCUUCAAACAAUUUCUUGUAGCUGCCGUGGUGGCAAUGUUGUGCGCGGAAUGCGGAAUCAAGCGCACCAAAUAAUUACAGAAAAAUAAAGGACACAAGAAUUACGUGGUUCGGUAAUUAAACCUACAUGCACGGAGGUAAGAAAGAAUAAUUGUUUAUUUAACAAUUAAUAAAGUAUAAAUAUUUGAGUAAUGAAUCUCACUUCCCAGAAACCCAAAUAUACCCAAUACUCUCACACUCUGCAGGAAAGAUAAAUUCCUCAGACACACUUUUCUCACUUCUCUAAAAAGCUUAGAAACUUAUAAGCUUAACAAUUUUGAGAUAAUUUCAAAUGAAUAAAAUCCUUAGCUAUUUAUAGGAUAAAUGAAUUAUUAUGCAAAGAAUAAAAUAAUUAAAAAUAUAAUUUUUAAUUAUUAUUAUUUUUCAAAUCCAUCCCCUUUGUCAAUUCUUUCUUUUCGGUUACAAAAUCAAUUUUGAUUUUGCUUCUCUACAAUUGUUGGUGCAACCAACAGUUUGUUGACUUCAACAAAUCUCCACCUCGGCGAAAAUUUUUCAAAUCUGAGCCAACUACCAACGAGCCAUCAUCCCCAAAGUGGCUGCAUCUCUAUGACUGCCUACGUACCUAAAAUUUGGGAUCAAGCCAACCGUAGUUCAAAAUUCUCGAAGGACAUAUCUUAACACAAUCGAAGGAUUUGAAUUAGUUUCAAGUAAUGUUGAAACUUAACUCCAGAAACUACUUUCGUCAACAUAUCUGAUGGAUUAUCUUUAGUAUCAAUUUUUCUCAACAACACAACACCGCUCUCGAUAAUCUCCCUCACAUAAUGAUAUUUCACAUCUAUGUGCUUUGUCCGAGCGUGAUAUGUUUGAUUUUUCGCAAGGAAUAUCGCACUUUAAUUAUCACAGAAGACCGUAAUGUUCUCCUAGAUUACUCUCAAAUCAUCUAACAAGCCUUUCAACCAGAUAGCUUCUUUUACAACUUCAGUUGCUGCCAUAUACUCUGCUUCCGUAGUGGACAGAGCAAUUGUCGAUUGCAAAAUCGACCUCCAGCUAACCGGACCUCUACCCAAUAUGAAUACGUAGCCCGUUGUUGAUCUUCGCUUAUCUAGGUCUCCAACGAAAUCAAAAUCACAAUACUUAACACAUUGUUGACCACAAUCCUUCUUGAACAAUAACCCAACAUCAACUGUCCCAUACAGAUAUCAAAGAAUCCACUUACGCAAGCCAUUGAUUUUUACCUGGAUUGUGCAUGUAUCUACUAACCAUGCUCACUGCUUGAGAUAUAUCGGGCCUUGUGCAUACCAUAGCAUACAUAAGACUACCCACAACACUAGCAUAUGGAACACGAGCCAUGUAAUCGCACUCCUCUUGAGAUCUAGGACAUGAAGAAGAGCUUAAUUUGAAAUGAGGAGCUAAAGGUGUACAUACCACUUUUGUUUUGCCAUCCAUACCGAAUCUUUCUAGCACUUUCUUCAAAUAAGACUUUUGAGUCAACCAUACGCUCCCAUUCUUCUUGUCUCUACGAAUCUCCAUCCCAAGUAUUCUCUGUGCAUCACCCAAGUCUUUCAUCUCAAACUCAGAAUCCAGCUGCUUCUUUAAUCUUUCGAUCUCAUCUCUAUUCUUCGAAUCUGUAAGCAUAUCGUCGACAUAGAGUAACAAAUAGAUGAAAGCUCCAUCUGGUAGUCUUCUAAAGUAAACAUAAUGAUCGUGUUCACUUCUGGUGAAUUUCUGCCCUUGUAUAAAUUGAUCAAAUUUUUUGUACCACUGCCUUGGCGAUUGCUUCAGUCCGUACAAAGAUUUAAUCAACCUACACACAUGAUUCUCCUUUCCAGCAAUUGUGAAACCACAAGGCUUAAUCAUAUAGAUUUCCUCCUCUAAAUCUCCAUGUAAGAACGCCGUCUUAACAUCCAAUUGAGCCAAUUCUAACUCAUAUUCUUCCUUUUGAGCAAAACCUUUUGCCACGAGCCUUGCCUUGUAUCGAGGAGUUGUUUGAUUCGGAGAUCCUUGCUUUUUGGUGUAGACCCAUUUAUUGCCAAUAACCCUUUUCCCCUUUGGUAACUUUACAAGUUCCCAAGUUUGGUUUUGAUGGAGAGAUUUCAUCUCUUCCUCCAUGGCUAACUUCCACUGACCACUUUCACUGCUGCGUAAUGCUUCACCGAAAGUGUUAGGAAUGUCAUCAUCAAUAACUGGAAGUGCAUAGGCUACCACCAUAUCUUUAGUAAACCAUCCGGGUUUAUUUAUCUCUCUUAUUGGCCUCCUUGUUGCUAUAAAAUCAUCAUUAUCUAUAUCAUCAAUUGUUUCUUCAUUUUGUGGGACAUCAGAAGAAACAACAUCUUCUUCAACUCUAGGUGUCACCUCCAUAGUUGAACUCUUCUUUGAUGUAGAACUAACUGGUACAUAUGGAGUUGCAUCAAACUCCACCCGCUGCAAUACCUCUUUGGUCUUGUUCUCCACCUGCUGAGAACUUGAAGCUUUCAUCAUUGAAGCUUCAUCAAAUGUGACAUCUCUGUUACACAUAAAUUUUUUGUCUUCGAGAUCCCAAAACUUGAAGCCCUUUACUCCACCUUUGAAUCCCACAAAGAUAGCUUUUCUAGCACGAGGAUCCAGUUUACCAUCUUUGACAUGAUAAUAAGUUGGACACCCGAAUAUACGAAGGGAAUCAUAGUCUUGUGCAUGCUUUCCAGACCACAUUUCCAUAGGAGUUUUACCUCCAAUUGCAGUAGAAGGCAACCGGUUUACCAAGUGACUUGCGUAGCUCACAGCUUCAGCCCAAAACUUUUUAUCUAAACCAGUAUUAGAUAACAUACACCGUACCUUCUCCAGUAAAGUACGAUUCAUACGCUCAACCACACUGUUUUGUUGUGGAAUAUGUCUCACCGUGAAAUGUCUUUUAAUACCCUCGUUCUGGCAUACUUGCAAGAAUGGAUCAGAAGUAUAUUCACCCCUAUUAUCAUAUCGUAAUGCUUUGAUCUUUCUGCCAGUUUGAGUCUCCACCAAUUUCUUCCAUUUCACGAAAAUCUCUAGAACCUUAUCAUUUGCUCGCAUGGUGUACACCCAUACACGUCUAGAGAAAUCAUCAACAAAUAUAACAAAAUAAUGGCUUCCACCAAUUGAUGCAGUCUUGGUUGGUCCCCAUACAUCACUGUGAACAUAUUCAAGGAUCUCACGAGUAUCGUGAUUAGCUAUACCAAACUUGACCCUUGUUUUCUUGCCUACUGCACAAUGUUCACAUAAAUUUAAUUUACAGGUUUUUAUACCUUUUAAGAGUCUGUGCCUCAUUAGAGUUUGCAAAGACUUCUCUCCAGUAUGUCCCAAUCGUACAUGUCAUAGCUCAGUAGUGUCACUGUACGUCUCAGCAACAUUUCCUUUCAAAUAGUACAGAUUGUGACGCUGAACCCCUUGCAGAAUCACCAUAGCCCCAUGUGUAAACUUCAUUAUACCAUCUUCAAUGGUAACCUUGUAGCCUUUAGCUUCCAAAGCACCCACAGAAAUUAGAUUUUUCUUUGAAGCUGGAACAAAUCUAACCUUUUUGAGUUGUUUGACCAUUCCAUCAAACAUUUUGAGUCGAAUUGUUCCUAUCCCCAUUGUGCGACAAGGUUGAUCAUUCCCCAUCACAACUGCACCGGAUUCCAGAUUACGAAAAUCCGUAAACCAUUCAUUAAUAGGACACAAAUGAUAGGUUGCUCCAGUAUCAAGUAUCCACUCGCUCGAACUAGCCACGUAUGUUGCAGGAGUAAUAUUUAGUGAAUAAUCAGAGUCUUCAUCUUUCCGUGCCAUGUUUGCUGCUGCUGGUUUCUUUCCAUCUCUCUUUUGAGCUUUUGGACAAUCUUUCCUCCAAUGGCCUUUUUCAUGACAAAAGGUACACUCGUCUCGAGCUAUAUUUAUGCUUCUCGAUUUGGAUCGAGAAUUCUUUCCACCACGCUUCUUCUGUUUCUCCAUCGCUCAAUCUCUGCUCACCAAAGCUUCAGACGAUGCUCGUUCAGAAUUUUUAUCAUUAUUUCGAAUCUCCAAGUUAGUCAAUGCUGUGCAAACAUCUUUGAAGACGAUCACACUCUUCCCAUAUAUCAAGGUAGUCACAAAAUGGCUCUAUUCCUUUGGUAGUGAGUGUAAUAAAAUCAUAGCCUUGACUUCAUCCUUAAUAUCUUCAUCAAGAUUCUUAAAAUCAGCAAGUAACUUUUCAAAUCUUGAGACAUGAUCGUGCAUUGACACCCCAUGCUUCAUUCGAAAGCCAUAUACUUGGUUCAUUGUAUGAAGACGAUUUUCAAGACUUUUCAGCAGGUACUUCUCCUCCAAUGUACGCCACAAAGUCACCGCACAUUUUUCAUCUUUCACCAAGUAUUUCACCUCCUUGAUCAAACAAGAUCUGAUCUGACCACAAGGUUUCUCGUUCAUAGGAUCCUAAAUUUCUUCAUCAUACAAGUGUCUUUUAUUUUUCAGAAUAACAUCGAGAUCGAUUUGAAUAAGGGCAUCCAUAACUUCACGCCUCCACAUGCCGAAGUUGAUUUUCCCAUCAAACUUUUCAACAUCGAUCUUCUGGCCUCCUAUAACAGGUGCUGAAUAGCAAUUUGACAAAUCUAGCCUCCCACCUGAAGUGUCUCUUGAAAUAGUCUCGGUAGAUCUCUCCCCAAUUCUAGAAGUUUCACCUUCUACCAUUUUCUUAACGAACUAUUUCUACUUGAAAAACAGCCUCCAUGAUGUUAAUUUCGCGUGAAUAAAUGCACCAGGAAAAUUCCCAAGAGACUGGACGGGAACUCGAUCCUAAUUAAAAACCAGAAUCCUUAGACUCUUAUCGCCUUUGUUGACAGAACUUUCCUAGACAUGCAAAAAUACACACUAUUUACAAUACAUUGUCUCCCAAGUACAAAUGGUCGUCUCCACCGUAUUCGUGAACAGUACCGUAUGUGAACAGAACCGUAUACGUGAACAGUACCGUAUCCCCCCAAGUACGAACCGUCGGCUCUGAUACCACUUGUUGUGCGCGGAAUGCGGAAUCAAGUGCACCAAAUAAUUACAGAAAAAUAAAGGACACAAGAAUUACGUGGUUCGGUAAUUAAACCUACAUCCACGGAGGUAAGAAAGAAUAAUUGUUUAUUUAACAAUUAAUAGAGUACAAAUAUUUGAGUAACGAAUCUCACUUCCCAGAAACUCAAAUAUACCUAGUACUCUCACACUCUGCAGGAAAGAUAAAUUCCCUAGACACACUUCUCUCACUUCUCUAAAAAGCUUAGAAACUUAUAAGCUUAACAAUUUUGGGAUAAUUUCAAAUGAAUGAAAUUCUUAGAUAUUUAUAGGAGAAAUGAAUUAUUAUGCAAAGAAUAAAAUAAUUAAAAAUAUAAUUUUUAAUUAUUAUUAUUUUUCAAAUCCAUCCUCGUUGUCAAUUCUUUCUUUUCGGCUACAAAAUCAAUUUUGAUUUUGCUUCUCUAUAAUUGUUGGUGCAACCAACAAUUUGUUGACUUCAACAGGCAAGGCAAGUCAUUCUUGGCUACCGAACAAGGCACUUCAUCCUCAAGUUAAGCUACUCAUCCUUUCUGAAAUUCGUUCUUUUGUUGGAUAAACCAAUAUUGUGUUUCAAAGUUGCUAUUUAUAGCCGAUGAAAGAACAGUGAUUAUUUCGCCACUUUUGUAUUGUAUAAUCAUUAAGCUUACCAAAUAGGAAUGUAUUCUGUAUAUGCAAUGCAUUUGUUUCAUGUCCCUGCAGAUUAAAAAAUGUACAGAAUUUCAACAAAGAAAGAAAGUACACAAGGUUCAACUGGCUUCUAAUGAACCAGUAGCAUCUACUUAAUCUGAUGUAUCAUAUUUGGCUGUGACAGCCAUGGUUCACUCUUCUCACAUAGCUUUAGUUAUUACAAAAUUAUAAAUUUGCAGAGACACUGUUCUUAUUGAUGCUAUAACUUGUUAUGCACUUACCCUUUUCCUUUGAGUUGACUACUUAUAUGGAGACUAAUCUGACUUAGCUAGAUAUUCACACUACUACAAAUUGGGCAAGAAGCAUAAAAUACAACAAAGAAGAAUGUGGAAUUGAUCAAUAAAGUUGUGGGGAAUCACUGUAGAGCCCUAAUAAUUCUUUUUCAAAAGGAUGAAGCUCUUUCUCAUGACCUUCAGUUUUUUUGUUCACCACAUCACUGAGUCAAGGAACCGACGGCAUAAAUAUACGGAUAGAUAAGAUAAUGAUUCCCCAUCUAGUACCAUUUCAAGUCAAUGCCUUUGCCGAAAAGAAAUGGAUAUUUUAUUAGUUUUAUCCAAACUUUGUUAAUCUAGUGUCAUCUAUCCUAUUAUUAGUUUGUGGAUACAAGACAUGUAUAGAUCUUAGUUCUUAGUAAAGGCAAUAACAGCAUAGUAAACUAAAAGCAGUGUAAGCCGAAUUAGAAUCUACAGAGCAUCGUCAAUGAAGCAAAAUCAGAUUUUACUUCACCAGAUGUACAUGACAAAUACUAUAAUAGCAGCAGAUGAAUCUUGGUUGUAACGUAUAGCCAACUAUGUAUACCAACAAAAAAUCCUCAAUUUGGAGAAGCUGGAAUUUUGAUUAUGUGCGCAUCUAAUCGGAAAUUUCAGGGCAAAUUAGUAAGCAAAUUGGCCUUUGCUGAAAUGAGGAGUACUUAUGGACUUUCCUUUGAAAAAAAAAAAUUUCUGAUAUCUCUUUUGGCAGUAAGAAUAUAUUCAGUUAGGCAAGCAUACUGACACUGAGUGAUGGACAAAAUAAAACAGGGAAAAAAAGUCAUCAUAAAUUACGCAAAUUGAUGGCAACCUAUUAACUUUCCGAUCUGCAUCCUAUAUGUACUCUUCUAUAAAUAGGGACUCCAAACACAAUACCUGGCAUCCAAUUAUAUCAAAGCAUAGAAGAAGUUCAGAGGAAGAGUAGCCUAACAUGAAGAAAGAACCUUGUUUGAUAGCCAAGGAUGACUUGCCUUGCUUUUAAAGAAAGGUCUCUCAACUUUAGCUUAGCUACAUAUUUAGCUAGUAUCCUUGUGCAGGUUCCAAGGCAAGUCGUCUUUGGCUAUUUUGACAGGCUCUUAUUAUUCAUGCUAGGCUUUCUCUUCUUCCACAGCCACUUCAAAUUCUUGUUGCCUGUCGCAUGUGUUCCUUAAAAAUUACACAGUCAACACUGUAUAUUGCAUUUGAGGAAGAUGACGCGUUUUGAGAAAAGAGUCUUACAUGAAGAUUGGAGUUUUGCUUGAUAGCCAAGAAUGACUUGCCCGCUCCUUCUGAGUAAGUGUGGAUAACUCAUUCAAUUCUUCUUCUAUAAAAAUAAAUAACUACAAACUUUUACUUUGGUUCCAGACAGUCACCUUGGCUAAGCUGACAGACUUACUUUUCAUGCUGGGCUUUUCUUCUCUCCCAGGCACCACAAAUUGGCUUUUUGAUUAUAUAUUUAUUUUGUACUAAUUUUGCAGUGAUAAAUUGAAAGUUCUAGGAUUAUUAAAUUGUGUCAACUGUCAAGCCUCAAGUUCCAAGUAAAUACUUAUAUGUAGAGAGAAGUGAUCGAAGAAGGAAUCGGACUCGUACUUUGAUGAAGAGGAUGCCCAGAUUCCCAAUUGGGUUUUGGCAAUUUAAUUUUCGGAAGUCUGCAUACACAAAACAAGAGCAUAUGUAACUUCUAUGCAUGAUUGAUCAUGAUCAUUUAUCAAUUUCAUUCAAUAAAAUUGUUUUUUUUUUUUUUUUUCCAUUAGAUAAUUAAUUGUUGUCUUCAAUAUAAUGUUGCAAACGAUCAACUUGGAGAUUCCAUAACCCCACUACAGAACAUAACAAGACAAGUGAAUGACAUAAUUAAUCAAGAACUGUGAGUUUAAGUUGAUGCGCAAACUGCAUGUGCUCAUAAAGAUUUUGCCAGGUUUGACAUUACAACAUUACACAGUUUUAUACAUGUUUGAAUCUCUACCAACACUAAUUUUACUGAUUUAGUUAAAUUUAAUUCACACGGUAAAUCCAGCCGCUUAAGUGUUAUAGAUAUUUGGAUUCAGGGUGACAAUAAUGUUAAGAGUUGUGAUAUAUUUCAUGUGAAGCUUAAAUACUAUUUGCAUAAGCCCUUAGCCCUCAGAUGUGAUAUUCCGAAUACAGUGCAAAAUCUUCUUUUUCCCUUUUUUAUUGGUAAUGACAUUGACUUUAAUCUUCUUGUCGGUUGAGGCGUCCUUAUAUGCCAUUGAAUCCAUGCAUCAACCAUAUUUAUGAAGGGGAUAGAAUUAAUAAUAUGGUAAGUAAUGUACAUCAAAGAAGAUUGUCUCCACAGUUUACAUUAUUACUGAUUAUCUUAACUGUUAUCAGAGUUUCCCUUGUACAUGAACUUUUGCAAAAUUGCACUUUCAUAGAUGGAUAUAUAUACAUAUACCAAAUGUGGAUCAAAGGCAGCGCAAUCUUGGCUUUAACAAUAACAGCCAUAAAACAUCCUGCGUUUGCAGGAGCUGAAGGCUUGAUUAUAUGAUAUUAAUCGGAAAUUGCCUGGGUAUCAAUAAGCAUAUAUGCAUCGUGACCUGAGUUCUGUAUUUAGGCAUUCAUGGACUUUCCUUACAAAGGGAAAUUCCGAUUCUUCUUUAAUUAUCAGCAAUGAGAUGGAGCAAAUACAUUGCACUCUGGGGUUACUUCUAGUCUCAACUGACGCAGAGAAUAUAUUCCACAAUAUGGUAAGCCUAAUGAAACAGUGAGGUGGAUAAAAGUAUGAGCAAACAGAUAAAGCAAUUACUUUGAUGGCAAUCUAUUGACUUUUGGGUCUCCAUACGAUAUGUAUUCUUUCAUCGGCGAUAAACAGAGGUUUCAAAACAUUUCACUGGCAUCCAAUAAGAACAUGAGUUUCAGUAGACCCACAGAAGAGUAAGCCUAACAUGAAGAUAAUGAAAGAUUGUUUGGUAGCCAAGAAAGAUUUGUCUUGCUACCAAAGCUGUAAGGAAUUGUUUUAAAACCAAGAUAGCUAACUUGACAGGCUCUUAUCACUCAUACUAGGCUAGGCUUCAAAUAAUUUGAUUAUUAUCCAAUUUCAUUUGAGCAUUAAUUUAGUUUGAGAAAAAGAGCCUUGCGUGAACAUAGAAGUUCUGUUUCAUAGCCGAGGAUGACUUGCCCGAUCCACGUUGAGUGAGUGGUAUCGGUCAUUUUCUUUUUGUGAUUACAAUAUUCAUUUGGUUCCGGGCAGUCACUUUGGCUAAGCUGUAAUACCCACGUCUUUUGUUUUUAUAUACUUGCAUGUAGUUUUAGGAAAUAAUUUUUAUCUCGUUUAUUUUUAUGUUAUUACUUAUUUAUUUUAUUUUUGAAAUUACAAUUGAUUUAAGGAAGUUUAAAAACCUCCUAUUAUCUAAUUUGUACUCAACUUUCCCCACUUCUGUAACCACCAUUAACUUCUCUUUAUAUGUAACUAAAAUCACUUUUUUUUUUUGGCUGUUUCACUGUCAUACUUCAAAUUCCCUUAAGAAGCUUAGGGCCUGUUUGGUACCGUUUUCAAACCUUUAUUUUCGUUUUUGUUUUAUAAAUACAAUUGAAAACACAUUUGGUGGGCUAAACUCAGAAAUAAAUUAUAAAACAAAAAAUUCGGAUUCAGUUUUCCAGUUGUAAAGUUGAGAACGUGUUUAAUGUGUUUUCAAAUGAAUUUACAGUUCACACUAAAGAACAAACUACAGAACAAAUCUCAAACAUCUCUGGCUCGUAUUCUCUUCAUCAACAGCUCCUAAAGUCCCCGAUCUAAACUCUCCGCACUCAUUAUCAAUCUCUUCUUCCUCUUUCUCUAGAUCUACAACACAUAUCUCUCUCUCUAACUCGAUCUGCCAGUCCGUUGCUGCUGCUGCUCGAUCUCGGCUGUUGCAGCUGCUGUCUUCACUUGGUCUUUGCUCCAGCUACUUCCAGUCAGUUGCUGCUGCUGCUGCGCUUCCAGUUCGUUGCUGUUGCUGCUAGAUCUUGGCUGUUGCAGCUGCUGUCUUCACUUGGUAUUUGCUCCAGCUACUUCUAGUCCAUUGUUGCUGCUGCUAGAUCUCGGCUGUUGCAGCUGCUUUCUUCACUUGCUCUUUGCUCCAGCUACGCGUGCUUUCUGCAAUCUGCUCUUCCACUCGCUUGCUGCAACCACGUACUGGUAUAUUUCUUUCUUUUUUUCUAUUUGGUUGAAUUUUGAGUGUAAUUCGAAUUUGUUUAGCUUGGACCCAUAUCAUGUUCAAUUCAGCAAAUUGGAUUCAACUGGGCAAAUUAGAUGUUGCUAUGUUCAAUUAGUUUUCUAGACAAAUUAAUUGGGUGUAGUUUUUUAUUAUCUUGUGUAUUGGUGUUUGCUCUGGUUUUAUUUUCUUUGGAUGUACCCAUCUUUGAUAACGGACAAUAUAUCCAAUAAUUGAAGCCUAGCACUUAUUAUCCAUGGGGCAAGUUACUCCGACUAGCUUACUGAGCCUUAUCUUUAUUUCAUAUUUGAAAUUGAAAUUCAUUUGGCAAUUGCCUAAUGCUGUGGGCCCAAGUGUAGCCCCACAGGAAGAUUCAAGAGGCCAACAAAGGGACUGAUCAGUCGAAAAUUGGGAGAAAAUUAGCUACAACUUCAUGGAAAAAUCAGAAAUUCUUUUAAGAUGUUAUUGAACUAUUUUGAGUUGUUGGAAUUUUUGCUUUACAGAACUUGAUAGGUAUAGAUAUUCAGAGACUUGUUUGUGAAAUACAAGAUUUUGUAUUGGAAGGUUGCACCCAACAUAUACAAUUGAACUUGGUGUAACUUUCUGGUGAAUUUUGGCAGCUUCCAAUCCUUCUGAGUUUGAAUUUCCUCUUGAAUAUAUCGAUCUGCAUUUUAUUGACAUUUGUUGCAAGCAAUUACUUUGAUUUUUUUUAUUCAUUUUAUGAAGUUGUGAUUAUUAGAAUUUGGGAUAGGGCUUGUAAUAAGGUUUGGACUGUCAAAUUUGGAAUAACAUUGCACAUUUGAAAGCUGUCUUUUUCUACACAAACAUGCAGACAUGCACAUACACACCAUAAUCUUUCGAGUAACAUUCAUUUUGUAAUCUAUGACAUGUUGCUGAAAUUACUUUCAUGUUAUGUUGAAUUUGAUUAAUAUUUGAUAUGUGUUAUUUUUUUAAAAAUUUUUCAAGAUAUGGAUCCACAUGAUGUUGAUGUUGAGGAUAAGGCCGAUUGGUACAAGAGAUGGAAUUAAAAAACAAGUGUCGCAGAGAUGAAUGCUACAAGAGAUGGAAUUGCAGCUUUUAUGUGGCAUGAUUACAUACGUAAUGCAUAAUGUGUAUCAUGUAGUUUUUUUAUAAUUAUUUUGUUUAAAUCAUGUGUUGUAAUAUAUAUCUUAAUUAUAUGGUGUAAAAACAAUGACAAUUUCAAACUUUUUUUAAUUAAUGUUAAUUCUUAAACUUUAUUAUCAUGUAAUUUUUUUAUAUUAAAUUUGGUUAAAUUAUUUUUGUUGUAUUUGUGUGUAUUAACUAAAUAAUUAUUUUAUGACUAUAAAUAUAAUGUAAAUGAUUAGUAAAAACUGUUCUCGAAAAAAGCAUUACCAAACGCAUAUUCUCUGUUUUUAUCAUUUUCAACUGUCUACCAAACGCAUAUUACUGUUUUCAGUUUUAAAAUAUAGGAUACAGAAAAUGAUACCAGACGCAUAUUUAAAUUCGAAAUACAGCAACUGCAAACACCAUUUUCAUUUUCGUUUUAUUCUCAGAAAAUAAAAAUUCAAAAACAAUACCAAACGGACCCUUAAGUCUUUUCUGUUUUCUUUGAUUUUGGUUAAUAAAUUCUUUUAAUAGUUUGAAUAUGAAAUAUAAAACUUUGAUCUUUAUUGAUGUUCGGGUAUCUAAGAAACUUCUGAUAUGGUCUGCUUAGUGACUUUAUUUCUUUCAUAAUUGAUGUAUUUAAGGUUUGAACUUUUUAACAUUUGUUAAUCACAAGUUAAACUAUGGUUAGUUUAAUUCUCGCGGAUUUUAGUAUUGAAUAAGAGACUUAAUUAGAACUUGAAUGAAGUUUGGAAGAAAAUCUAUUUUUAGAUGCUGUCGUUCUUGACCUUUAAGCAAUUGUACUUUUAUAACUUUGGAUAUAUAAAGGAUAAAUUCUGAAUUUUGGAUAUAGUUAAACACACAUAUGAAAAAUUAUCUUGCUUUAUUUAUAUUUAUAUGUAUGAUUUUAUUAGAUUUUGUCUCCAAGUGUACUUAUUUCACGUAUUAACUCUCUUGAGCCUUCCCAAACUCACCCGAGCUACCCUUGAUUUUUCUGAUGAUCUCUUUUGAGCUUCAACUAGCUUACCUAGGCUACUCUUAGCUACCUCGAUGUCACAGACCACUCGAAAUUUCCAACAAGAAAGGUUAAAUUGAACUAAGGUGUACUAGCUUGGUUUGAUUCUAGAAGCUUCCAUCACUAGCAUUCAGUGUACUCGUAAACACCAAGUCUUUUUGCUCAACUAGUUCGAGAAGUUUAAUAAGCUACUUAGCAACAAUUUUACAAAACUUGUCCAAAUACCGUAGAAUUUUCUGCACAAAACACUCAUCGCGUGACAUUGAACUCCCCCACAUGCUCUCUAAACUCUCAUGACACUCAUCUCCAACUACCUAAAUCCUCAAACCACCAAGGACCUCAAUUGUGCUUAGCUCCCCAAAGCGUUCAAAAAAAAUAGUGCUAAACCAAUCGAUGGCUUACCUCACCGUCUCUCCACUAAAGAAACAAACUGAGGGGCCAAAUAAGGAUUUUCUAAAGUUUUCAUUUGUCCACUUCCUCUUAUCAUUUUAACGGUAUUUCGAAAAAAAAUGAACUCUCCCGUUAUAGCAACGAUUCUCCGCCAACCUUUUCUUCCACAUCAACAAAACCCUAAUCAAAACCUCAAAAAGAGACCCCAAAUCUCUAUACAAACCAACAACAGCAAAUCUACCAUAGACACUACAGUCCAAUGGACCUCUUCUAUAUCUCGCCACUGCCGCAGCGGCUGCAUACUCUAAGCCGCUUUAGAGUUUACUCGCAUGAGACUCUACGGUACCAAUCCGAGUCACAUCACUUUCGUCACCCUUCUUUCGGGUUGCGCUGAUUUUCCAUCGUAAUGCUCGUUUUUCGGUGCUCUGAUUUAUGGGCUUGUUUGUAAACUUGGGUUGGAUAGAAAUAAUGUGAUGGUGGGCACGGCACUUCUGGACAUGUACGCCAAAUUUGGUCGAAUGGAUUUGGCUACGGUGGUUUUCGAUGUGAUGAGAGUUAAAAGUUCGUUUACUUGGAAUGAAUGAUUGAUGGGUACAUGAGGCAUGGGAAUAUUGAAUCUGCACUUAAAAUGCUUGAUGAAAUGCCUGUGAGGGAUGCGAUUUCUGGACUGCUUUGCUUAAUGGGUUUGUUAAGAGAGAUUAUUUUGAGGAAGCAUUGGAGUAUUUUCGAGUAAUGCAGAUUUCUGGGGUGGAGCCGGAUUAUUUAACCAUUAUUUCAGUUCUUAAUGUGUGUGCCAAUGUCAGGACUCUUGGUAUAGGCUUGCGGAUGCAUCGAUAUGUUCCAAAGCAAGACUUUAAAGACAAUGUCAGGGUAUGUAAUACGUUAAUGGAUGUGUAUUGUAGAUUCGGCUGCAUUGAAUUUGCUAGUCAAGUGUUUCAAAGGAUGCAUAAACGAACAUUAGUGUCUCGGAACUCGAUUAUCGUGGGUUUUGCAGUUAACGGGUUUGUGGGGGAAGCUUUGGAGUAUUUCAAUUUGAUGCAGAAAGGAGUGUUCAAAACAGAUGAAGUCAGUUUCACAGGAGCGCUAACCGCCUGUAGCCAUGCUGGUUUAAUUGAAGACAGGCUUCAAUAUUUUGACAUUAUGAAGAAAAUUUAUAGUCUCUCCUCAGAUUGAGCAUCAUGGUUGCAUUGUGGAUCUUUAAAGCCGUGCAGAGAGAUUGGAGGAUGCAUUAAAUGUCGUAGAAUAUCUGCCUAUGGAACCAAAUGAAGUUGUGUUGGGUUGAUUGCUGGCAGCAUGUAGGACUGAGGGUGAUGUUGUCUUAGCAGAAAGAUUAAUGAAGUAUCUAGUAGACUUGGAGUCAGAUCACAUCUAUUCAAUGUUAGAGCUUCUUUCUUUUGAUUUGAAAUUAUGUGGUUAUGUUCCUGAAAACAGUUGCUGGAGAAUUAUAUGAAAAUGAUUUGAGUUUUUGUUGUCAAGUAUAA
Molecule: long non-coding RNA, 29818 nt
Filed under: Citrus maxima (pomelo)
Lineage: Eukaryota; Viridiplantae; Streptophyta; Magnoliopsida; Sapindales; Rutaceae
Source: RNAcentral